This 1301-nucleotide ribosomal RNA is filed under the name metagenome. RNAcentral's name for it is "bacterial SSU rRNA". It matches the Rfam family "Bacterial small subunit ribosomal RNA", at positions 8 to 1331 of the family's 1533-position model. The record is from RNAcentral.
AGAGUUUGAUCCUGGCUCAGGACGAACGCUGGCGGCGCGCCUAACACAUGCAAGUCGAACGAGCAAAGAGGAGCUUGCUUCUCUGAGCGAGUGGCGAACGGGUGAGUAACGCGUGAGGAACCUGCCUCAAAGAGGGGGACAACAGUUGGAAACGACUGCUAAUACCGCAUAAGCCCACAGGUCGGCAUCGACCAGAGGGAAAAGGAGCAAUCCGCUUUGAGAUGGCCUCGCGUCCGAUUAGCUAGUUGGUGAGGUAAUGGCCCACCAAGGCGACGAUCGGUAGCCGGACUGAGAGGUUGAACGGCCACAUUGGGACUGAGACACGGCCCAGACUCCUACGGGAGGCAGCAGUGGGGAAUAUUGCACAAUGGGGGAAACCCUGAUGCAGCGACGCCGCGUGGAGGAAGAAGGUCUUCGGAUUGUAAACUCCUGUUGUUGAGGAAGAUAAUGACGGUACUCAACAAGGAAGUGACGGCUAACUACGUGCCAGCAGCCGCGGUAAAACGUAGGUCACAAGCGUUGUCCGGAAUUACUGGGUGUAAGGGAGCGCAGGCGGGAAGACAAGUUGGAAGUGAAAUCCAUGGGCUCAACCCAUGAACUGCUUUCAAAACUGUUUUUCUUGAGUAGUGCAGAGGUAGGCGGAAUUCCCGGUGUAGCGGUGGAAUGCGUAGAUAUCGGGAGGAACACCAGUGGCGAAGGCGGCCUACUGGGCACCAACUGACGCUGAGGCUCGAAAGUGUGGGUAGCAAACAGGAUUAGAUACCCUGGUAGUCCACACCGUAAACGAUGAUUACUAGGCGUUGGAGGAUUGACCCCUUCAGUGCCGCAGUUAACACAAUAAGUAAUCCACCUGGGGAGUACGACCGCAAGGUUGAAACUCAAAGGAAUUGACGGGGGCCCGCACAAGCAGUGGAGUAUGUGGUUUAAUUCGACGCAACGCGAAGAACCUUACCAAGUCUUGACAUCCCUUGACGAUGCUGGAAACAGUGUUUCUCUUCGGAGCAAGGAGACAGGUGGUGCAUGGUUGUCGUCAGCUCGUGUCGUGAGAUGUUGGGUUAAGUCCCGCAACGAGCGCAACCCUUAUGGUCAGUUACUACGCAAGAGGACUCUGGCCAGACUGCCGUUGACAAAACGGAGGAAGGUGGGGAUGACGUCAAAUCAUCAUGCCCUUUAUGACUUGGGCUACACACGUACUACAAUGGCGUUAAACAAAGAGAAGCAAGACCGCGAGGUGGAGCAAAACUCAGAAACAACGUCCCAGUUCGGACCGCAGGCUGCAACUCGCCUGCACGAAGUCGGAA